RNAcentral lists this ribosomal RNA (460 nucleotides) under uncultured bacterium. Its description in RNAcentral is "partial 16S ribosomal RNA". It matches the Rfam family "Bacterial small subunit ribosomal RNA", at positions 338 to 795 of the family's 1533-position model. The record is from RNAcentral.
CCUACGGGUGGCUGCAGUGAGGAAUAUUGGUCAAUGGACGAGAGUCUGAACCAGCCAAGUAGCGUGAAGGAUGACUGCCCUAUGGGUUGUAAACUUCUUUUAUAUGGGAAUAAAAUGUUCCACGUGUGGGAUUUUGUAUGUACCAUAUGAAUAAGGAUCGGCUAACUCCGUGCCAGCAGCCGCGGUAAUACGGCGGAUCCGAGCGUUAUCCGGCUUUAUUGGGUUUAAAGUGAGCGUAGUUGGCUUGUUAAGUCAGUUGUGAAAGUUUGCGGCGCAACCGUAAAAUUGCAGUUGAAACUGGCAGUCUUGAGUACAGUAGAGGUGGGCGGAAUUCGUGGUGUAGCGGUGAAAUGCUUAGAUAUCACGAAGAACUCCGAUUGCGAAGGCAGUUCACUGGACUGCAACUGACACUGAGGCUCGAAAGUGUGGGUAUCAAACAGGAUUAGAGACCCUGGUAGUC